GGAGUGAACGCUGGCGGUAGGCCUAACACAUGCAAGUCGAACGGCAGCACGGUAAGAGCUUGCUCUUAUGGGUGGCGAGUGGCGGACGGGUGAGGAAUACAUCGGAAUCUACCUUUUGGUGGGGGAUAACGUAGGGAAACUUACGCUAAUACCGCAUACGCCCUUCGGGGGAAAGCCGGGGACCAGCAAUGGCCUGGCGCUGAUAGAUGAGCCGAUGUCGGAUUAGCUAGUUGGUGAGGUAAUGGCUCACCAAGGCGACGAUCCGUAGCUGGUCUGAGAGGAUGAUCAGCCACACUGGAACUGAGACACGGUCCAGACCUCCGUACGGGAGCCAGCGAGGUGGGGAAAUAGUUGGAACAAGUGGGGCGACGAAGCCUGGACU
This 382-nucleotide ribosomal RNA is filed under the name uncultured soil bacterium. Its description in RNAcentral is "bacterial SSU rRNA". It matches the Rfam family "Bacterial small subunit ribosomal RNA", at positions 27 to 383 of the family's 1533-position model. The record is from RNAcentral.